CAUGCAGUCGAGCGCGAAUGGAGCAAUCCUAGUAGAGCGGCGCACGGGUGCGUAACACGUGGGUAAUCUGCCUGGGUGUCUGGGAUAACCAGUCGAAAGACUGGCUAAUACCGGAUAAGCUCACGGCCUCUUCGGAGGCAGUGAGAAAAGGUGGCCUCUGUAUACAAGCUAUCACACCUAGAUGAGCCCGCGGCCCAUCAGCUAGUUGGCGGGGUAAUGGCCCACCAAGGCAACGACGGGUAGCUGGUCUGAGAGGACGAUCAGCCACACUGGAACUGAGACACGGUCCAGACUCCUACGGGAGGCAGCAGUGGGGAAUUUUGCGCAAUGGGCGAAAGCCUGACGCAGCAACGCCGCGUGUGUGAUGAAGGUCUUCGGAUUGUAAAGCACUUUCGACCGGGACGAAAACCCCUAGCCUAACACGCUGGGGCUUGACGGUACCGGGAGAAGAAGCACCGGCUAACUCUGUGCCAGCAGCCGCGGUAAUACAGAGGGUGCAAGCGUUGUUCGGAAUUAUUGGGCGUAAAGCGCGUGUAGGCGGCUUUGCAAGUCGGGUGUGAAAGCCCUCAGCUCAACUGAGGAAGUGCGCCCGAAACUGCAGAGCUUGAGUGCCGGAGAGGGUGGCGGAAUUCCCCAAGUAGAGGUGAAAUUCGUAGAUAUGGGGAGGAACACCGGUGGCG
Molecule: ribosomal RNA, 680 nt
Filed under: Vitiosangium sp.
Lineage: Bacteria; Pseudomonadati; Myxococcota; Myxococcia; Myxococcales; Archangiaceae
Description: bacterial SSU rRNA
Rfam family: Bacterial small subunit ribosomal RNA
Source: RNAcentral